Long non-coding RNA from Cercocebus atys (sooty mangabey), 3666 nucleotides. RefSeq lists it as uncharacterized. The record is from RefSeq and is a predicted model, not a curated record. Lineage: Eukaryota; Metazoa; Chordata; Mammalia; Primates; Cercopithecidae. The transcript has 5 exons.
GCCUGCCCGAGCUGAGCCGCGCGUCCCGAGCCCAGCCUCUCCGGGGAGGAGGGACCCGGCGGCGCGGCGUGGGUAGGGAGCGGGCGCCUGGGACUACUUCUCGUUUGAAAGUUUUCAGAGGCCAAAAGUUUGAGCCGGGGCUGCGGAAGGAUCCGGCUCUGGCCGUUGCCGCGCUCGGCGACAAUUGGCGACGGAAAUUUGCAUGUGAAUAAGCGGAGGAGCCCGGGGUGGAGUAGGGAGGGCGAGGCCGCGGGCAGCUGUGUCCACCGUGCUCUGGGCCGGGCGGGGAGCAGCUGAGGCCACGUUGGGGGACCCCGGGCCCGGGGCAGGGCUUUGGGAGAAGUGGCCUAGCCGUGGGUGCGCCCCUAGCCCAGCGGCUUCUCUCCCUCCCCAGGGCCCCGUGGCCGCGGCUUUAGGCGUCCAGAGGAUCGAUCGCCGCCAGACACCCCUGGCCGUGAUUGCCUGAGCACUUGACCGCGAGGGAUGGGGGCGCAGCGGCCUCAGGGCAGGGAGUUUAGGGCGCCCCAAGGGAGCAGCCAGGACCAGUGCCUCGCGGACGUAUUGCGCCCCGCUGCCCCAGGGGGGACCCGCGUCGACAUGCUCCUCGGUCACCGUCCUCCUCCUGCCCGGGCGCCGCCUGCCUAAGGUGGCCCCGGAAAGCACAAACGGGUCGGGCGGAUCUGCCGCUGGCGCCGGCGCAGCCCCUCCCACGUGCCCCUUCCGGCUGAUUUAUUUCUCCACCACGAUGCCAGGCACGGGCACCCUGUGCCAAGCCUGGUUAAGCGCCAGGAGUCCAAAAUGCCUGCCAUAGUCCCUGCGCAAAGUUCACGGCCUCGUGCUGGGGACAAACAGCGCCCCCUCCCCACUCCAACACAGGGUGGUGAGUGCGAUGGCAGAAGGCGCUGGGGGCCCUCCUGGAGUAGGAGGGCUAUGCCUGCCCUGCAGGGAGACUGAAAGACUGAGAGGGACCUAGGACUCUGGGAGCGUGGGGGAGUGGCUGCAGAAACCCCAGAGCAUGGUGGCAGAGGGAGGCACAGAAAGGGGGACAAAUCUCACACCUGACUCCAGCGAGCCUUUCCUGGCACACCUCUUGCCAAGUGCUGAGCACUCUGGAAACAGCCAGUGCAGACGGCCUAUCCCCCCCUCGUAGCUGCUGCUGGGAGCCUCCCUCGCCUGCGUCCUCCCAGAAGCUGGCCUCACUUCUCCAGGCCUGGGGUAACAUCUCGGGGUCAGCGCCCGAGGAGAGGAGGCGCCUGGAGGCAGCAGAGAUGUUUAUGUAACAGCAGCCCGGCAGCCUGGAGGAGCAGAUUUUCCAUAGAAGGAAGCGCGGGGCUGUGCGGCUCCCAGGCUGAGGACACUGCCCACCACGACGUCCUCUGCUCCCGCAGAGAAGACAGUGGCCCAUUCGAUGUCCACCCGUCAGGCCGCCCAACAGCCAGGCACAUUCAUAAGCCCAUGUUACAGAUGGUGCAGCCGGGUGCACAGACCUGAGGGAAGCACAGGCCUCAGCCUCCCAGCUCCCAACGCCUGCACCACCCACAGCCGGGAGUACCCCAUGGACAGCUGGGGCUGAGGAGAAGCAAGGGAUGAGGGGGAUGGGCCUCCCCUCCCCACCAGCCUGGGAAGGGGGUGGGCCCCUGGCAAGUAGGUGAGAAGCUUCAUUCACAAGUUGUCGGGGCUCCCCAUUCCUCUUUUUCAGGCCAGUGGGUGUGGGCAGUGGGGGAAGGCAGGGGUCCUACCCAGCAGGAGUGUAUCUGCUGCCCUGGGGCCUGGAGACCUUCUCCUGCAGGUCAGGGGGGCAGCACCGGACAGCGGGCAUUGCAUGGGCUAAAGAGAAACAAAAGAAGGCAGGUUGUGUGCAGGGCACCCCAGCCACUCCAGAAACCCAAUCAGAAGGUGGGGGCUAGGACCCCAAGAAGCCGAAUUGGGGUGCAGUGCUGCCAGGCCUCCCCCGUGGGAGUCACUUUGGGCUUCCUGUCCCAGCUUGUGGUGGGAGCUGGGACAAGGUUCCCGGGGUACCCCUGAGGGCAGGGGUACCCUGAAUGAAGGGGCUGUUCCCAAGCUGGCCAAGGAGCCUGGAAGCAGAGGAGAUGGGGCCGCAGAGCCGGGUUUGCAGAGGGGAGAGGCAGACGUGUCCCGCAGCCCCCUCUUCUUCAGAGGCCACGUGCAGGUGCGGAGGGGAGAGCGGCCUAGGCGUUGCACCCCAGGAGACUGAACUGGGGGCUUUCGAGAGCAGAGCAGACCCCAAGUGUGUGGAGAGGCGAAAGCACAGCUGGUCAGCACACGGGGACAGCGACGGAGCUCCUGCCGCCUGUUUGGCCCCAGGUGCUGUGCAGCACGGAGACCCAGGAAUCCAUCUUGCCUCUUGCUGCCCCCAUGACCCUGUGGCGCUGGGGGGCAGGGAGCGCGAUGCUCCCCAUUUUUCAGGAGGGAAGCUGAGGCUCAGAGACAUCAUGAGGAUGCCAGCUCAAGGCCCAGCCAGGCCUUGGUCCUCAGCUGCUGUCAUCCAGUAGGAAGGAUGAUGUUGGUGUCCCAAAGCAGAAUCGUUUGUCCCGACGGAGCCACCAGCAGAGCCAGGAGCCCCCGAAGGACUUUGACCACACCCCCCACCCCACCCAGCCUGUGCCUGGUCCCCUGAGUGGAGCCUGGGCCAUCCUUGACCUCACUGCUGGGGUGAUGGAGAAGCUCCUGCCUGAGGCGAGAGUUUCUCAGGCGGCCGGAGUUUCCUCCCAUCUGCUCCAGACACAUUUAAACAAGCUGAGAACUUCCGUCCCCCCACACUUCCCCCCACAGACCCCCACGGACCCCUCUGCAAAUGAACAUGGGCCUGGAAAUCGGGGUUUGGGUUACAGAGAGCACGGGGAGUUCUAUUCGUGAAGUAACACGGAGCACGAACGUUAGCAGGUACCGCACAUCUGUGAGCUAUUUUCGGGUCUCCAGGGGGAAGGGAAAAAGCCCUAAGCCUUAAGUAAGACCAGGACUCUUCUAUAUUUUUACUUUGACAGCUAAGGAAAAAAAUUGCCAAAAACCAGAGGCGCUGCUGAGUGUUGGCGUGGGAAUGUUAGUUUAGUCAGAGCCUUGCCCUGGGCCAUUUAAAUAAAAACAGGCAUGUUGGUGGCAAAUGCCAGUUGAACACGCAGGAGAGCGGUGCUUCUGGGACCCGGAGAAGGGUGUGCAGCUGCACUCUCUCUUCCCUUUUUUCUUGGCCUCCCCAGCCUUCUUAUCAUCACGAUCAGCAUUUCACUGGUAAACAUUUGGUGCAAUAAUUUUCAAAAAUCAGCAAGAAAAGUCUGAGCGUUUAAUGUGGCUGGGACUGCGUGGCCCCAGCUGGAAGUGCGGAUUCCCAGCGCCUCCCGGAGCCUGUCUCCGAGGGAUACGCCAGUCACUUGAGGACCUUUGCACAACAUAAAUCAGACCGGCUAUCUCUAGGAUGGAGAGGGGGAUAAACUCACUUGUAGCAAGUGAAGGCCAGAGGCUGCCGUGGGAUGGCAUUGCCUGUUCCCAGGGGCUUGCAGUGGUGGAGCAGACAGGGGGACCCCAGGGCCCCCUCCCCUCCUUGCUGGGGAUGCUGCACAGACCCACCUUCAGGGACUCAAAUUCAGAGCCUGCCCCAGGGGUGGCGAACGUAUCUGGGACACUGAGCACCCACCUACUGGGUGCAUCUCG